AAUCAACGCUGGCGGCGUGCCUCAGACAUGCAAGUCGAACGAUUAAAGCUCUCUUCGGAGAGUGUAUAGAGUGGCGCACGGGUGAGUAACACGUAAGUAAUCUACCUUUGAGUGGGGAAUAACCCGGGGAAACCCGAGCUAAUACCGCAUAAUGCAGCGGCACCGCAAGGUGACAGUUGUUAAAGGAGCAAUCCGCUUAAAGAGGAGCUUGCGGCAGAUUAGCUAGNGGUAAGGUAAUGGCUUACCAAGGCUUCGAUCUGUAUCCGGCCUGAGAGGGCGGUCGGACACACUGACACUGAAUAACGGGUCAGACUCCUACGGGAGGCAGCAGUCGGGAAUUUGGGCAAUGGGCGAAAGCCUGACGCAGCGACGCCGCGUGAGGGAUGACGGCCU
Molecule: ribosomal RNA, 393 nt
Filed under: uncultured bacterium
Lineage: Bacteria
Description: bacterial SSU rRNA
Rfam family: Bacterial small subunit ribosomal RNA
Source: RNAcentral